GAACUCAGGGGCACUCAACCACUGAGCCACACCCUCAGCCCUAUUUUGUAUUUUAUUUAGAGACAGGGUCUCACUAAGUUGCUUAGUACCUCGCUUUUGCUGAGGCUGGCUUUGAACUCGCAAUCCUCCUGCCUCAGCCUGCCGAGCCCCUGGGAUUACAGGCGUGUGCUACUGUGCCGGGCAGACAGAAUUCUGAGGCAUAUAUUUUGCAUUUUUCUCAACUCCCCACAGGACAGAACUCCCAGGGUGGCAGUUGGUUUCACACAUCCACAUAUACACUCCCAUUGGACACCUUCCCUUCCCAGCAUCACUUCCCCAAAACACUACUCAAUGAGAAUCCUCAUCUAAAAUUCUGUUUCUGGAAGAACCCAAACCAAGGGUAGCAUAAUUUUUAUUUCAUAUUCUUCUAAACUGUUUGACGUGAUUGCAGGUGGAGCCCUGGAUGAAGGUUAUUCAUAACCUGUCAGCAGAAUGAUGAGGGAAGUCAAUUUCAGGAAGGGCUUGAGUCAUGAGCAGGAAGGAGAACUUUAGUUGACAGGUUGGAAAGGGCAAGUUACAGAUGGUAGGUUUCCAGAGCAGUGAGGUGAGCCCUGGCUGUAUUAUUAGAGUUCAAGUUCUCCACGUGCCUUUACUGCCUGAGCAGGAUGAAAGAGCUCCUACCCUAGUGCCAGGCACCUUCAUUCAAUUCAGAUUAUACUCAUAUUAAAGCCUCUAAUUCUGCUGCUUCAAUGCAAUUAAUAAUUCCUGUUCACAUGGUGCCACAGGAAGAAAGGAAGUGCCAAAGCCCAAAAGCCACCACAGCUGCUUAGGAUGAAAAUUCCCAAAACACAGAUCAAAGUGACAGAGAAGCAGGAAGCAGUCCUGAACAAACCUCUAGCUCCGAGUCAGGGUUUUAAAAUACAAAGACUGUAUAGAAAUUAACGCUAUGUUCCAAUUAUUCCAAGAAGUAAUAUUUCACAUCUUACUAUCUCUGUAAUUGAGGAACAUCAUACAAUGGAUGUAAAUCAUACUGAUUUGCAGUUUUUCAAUGAAAAGUUAUUAUAUCUUACAAUGAACAGUAUACCAAUUCAUGUGAUAUGAGCAAACAAGAUUUGGGGGGA
RNAcentral lists this long non-coding RNA (1100 nucleotides) under Marmota monax (woodchuck). The record is from RNAcentral. Lineage: Eukaryota; Metazoa; Chordata; Mammalia; Rodentia; Sciuridae.